This 93-nucleotide transfer RNA is filed under the name Azonexus hydrophilus. Its description in RNAcentral is "tRNA-Ser". It matches the Rfam family "tRNA". Rfam says of the family: Transfer RNA (tRNA) molecules are approximately 80 nucleotides in length. Their secondary structure includes four short double-helical elements and three loops (D, anti-codon, and T loops). RNAcentral also lists the same sequence under 2 other names. The record is from RNAcentral. Lineage: Bacteria; Pseudomonadati; Pseudomonadota; Betaproteobacteria; Rhodocyclales; Azonexaceae.
GGAGACGUGGCCGAGUGGUCGAAGGCACACCCCUGCUAAGGGUGCAUCCGGGCAAAACCUGGAUCGAGGGUUCGAAUCCCUCCGUCUCCGCCA